Molecule: long non-coding RNA, 376 nt
Organism: Octopus bimaculoides (California two-spot octopus)
Lineage: Eukaryota; Metazoa; Mollusca; Cephalopoda; Octopoda; Octopodidae
Source: RefSeq, a predicted model, not a curated record
CUUCUGAAGUCGAGAAGCGUCGGUAGAACGUGUUCACCUGUUCUAAAUUGCUUAAUUAAAUGGUUAUUGAUUGGAUAUAUGAUAUGUAAACGGAGUCCUUAAAUAAUUGUGAAUAACCAUUGUCUGAAGUAUGGUAAGGAAUCUCUCAAAGGAGGAAUCCCCAUUGGCAUGUGCGCAGAUGUCUGUGGCAAGUUCUUCACACAAAAGACCGUUAUUAAAAUGUGUUUGUCAGUGCUUAGUAAAUUCUACAUCCUCUCCAUCACUCUCACAUUCUACAACAAAGUAUUUGUAAAGGUUUUUAGACUGAUAAGGAAAAUUGAAGAUGGCUGGCCGCUUAGAGUUACGUCAAAAACAAAGAGCAGUGAUUGAAUCCCUU